GUGGGGGUGUCACUGUCAUUGUCAAAGUGGAAAAAUUUCCUAAUGUCGAUCUUCUGUUCGCCCACUCUAUCGAAUUUUGUGAUAAAGUAGAGAAUAGUGAAUAGUUUGAUAUAGAAUUAGAGAAUCGUGAAAGUUGUAGGCAUUCGAAGUGUACGACGAUACAUAUGAAAAGUGUGACGGGCGAAAGGCAUGUUUAAUAUAACUAUAGAGAAAAAUGGCUUCCGGUGAUGGAAUUGAUUCAAUUGAACUUGAAUCAACAGUGUCAAACUCGAAUAAUAGAAAUGCUGAAAUAUCAAGCGCCGCCCGCACAUCCGACGACAAUGAUAGGGAUCAUGCAUCUGGAGCAGACGGAAGAUCAACAAAUCAAGAGGUAUAUGGAGAGCCAGGACUGCCUCGGACUGAAACGCAUAGAGCGAAAACGGACAAAGAAAAGAAGAUUGGACACAGGCGAGUCGGUGAUGGCGGUCAGAUAACGUACAAAAAAAUUCAAACCAGUACAAUUAUGGGCUCUAUACAAUUAGGCAUACAACAUACGGUCGGAAGUUUGGCCUCAAAACCGAAAAGAGAUUUAUUGAUGAUGGACUUUUGGGAAAUUGAAACUAUAUCUUUCCCACCCGAAGGUUCUAGCUUAACUCCUGCGCAUCAUUUUAGUGAAUUUAGGUUUAAGAUAUACGCACCCAUAGCAUUCCGUUAUUUUAGACAUUUAUUUGGAAUACAACCAGAUGAUUUUAUGAUGUCCAUGUGCUCGGCUCCGCUGCGGGAACUAUCUAAUCCAGGAGCAUCCGGAUCAAUAUUUUAUUUAACUGAUGAUGAUGAGUUCAUUAUUAAAACGGUUCAACAUAAGGAGGGAGAAUUUUUGCAGAAAUUGCUUCCAGGGUAUUACAUGAAUCUGAGUCAAAACCCCCGAACAUUACUUCCUAAAUUCUUUGGCUUAUAUUGCUUUCAAUGCAACAGUAAAAAUAUUCGAUUAGUUGUCAUGAACAAUCUCUUACCAUCCUACGUUAAAAUGCAUUUAAAAUAUGACUUAAAAGGCUCAACUUACAAAAGAAGAGCAUCAAAACAGGAACGAAGCAAGCCUUCUCCUACGUAUAAAGAUUUAGAUUUCAUGGAGCAUCAUCCAAAUGGAAUAUUCUUAGAAGCCGAUACGUACAAUGCUUUAAUAAAAACAAUUCAAAGAGAUUGUACAGUCCUCGAAUCAUUUAAAAUAAUGGAUUACUCAUUACUAGUUGGUGUACAUAACUUAGAUUUAGCAUUAAAAGAAAAACAAGAGGAGCGGAGACUGGCAAAUGAAAGAGCUAGAAAUCCAAGGCCAGAGGAAUCGGAUACGGAAGAUGGUCCUCCACAUCCUGAUCCAUUCAUUGCUAAUGAACGAGAUCGGGAAGAGCGUGAACGUGAACAUAGGGGAAGAGAGCGAGAUGCCGCUGCUGCAGCGGCGGCUGCGUCAGCUGCCCUUAACAGGAGCAGUGCAUGUUACAGGUCUAUAAAUCGACAAAGACUUGUCGCGCAUUCAACAGCGAUGGAAAGCAUACAAGCCGAAAGUGAACCAAUAGAUGAAGAGGAAGAUGUGCCCCCUGGGGGAAUCCCUGCUCGUAGUGAAAAAGGAGAAAGACUUCUAUUAUUUAUCGGUAUAAUAGAUAUUCUUCAAUCGUAUCGACUAAAGAAGAAACUUGAACAUACAUUCAAAAGCAUCAUUCACGAUGGGGAUACAGUCUCGGUAUGCCGACCAUCCUUCUAUGCGCAAAGAUUUCAAAAUUUCAUGGCGAAAACCGUUUUCAAAAAGAUUCCUUCACUGGAUCUCCCCGAAAUUAAGGGAAACCAUAGAAAAUUUCGUACCCUGGUCUCCAGCUACAUAGCACUGAAGCACUCUCCGUCGAAAAGAAAGAGUCUUUCACGUGUUGCUCAGAGAUCAACAGAAGGAGAUUCCGAUAGCCAUCCAGUGGCAGGCACUUCACAUCACCACCAUCAUCAUCACCAUUUAAGUAAUACGUCUCAAAAAUCUGGUCCAACUCCAGCGAUCGCGCAAUCAUCAGCAGUUCUAACAAACACAAAUAAGCAGCCAAUAACAACAACCGCUCCGUCGUCAAAUGUACCACCUCUUAAACAAAAAACAAAUAUAACAAAAUCAAAAGUACCGCCUCCGGUGCCACCUCGGGGAUCGCCAAAGCCGAGAAAAGGACAGACAUCAACAUCUAAUACUGGUGCAAGUUUAGCUAGCCGUGCCUCACCAACAGGCACUGCACCUUCAUGUUGUUCCACACCUCCUCCCGCUUUCGAUGAUAUAUCCGAAGGAAGUUCGCAACGGCACAACGUCGACGGAGGAAGUGAUCGCCGAGCACAACUAAAUACAGCAAUACGGUCCUCUUUUAAGGAUGAUGCUAUCAGAUACGACAGAGUCGAAAAGUCAACGUAUUAUGUUAGUAUUUCAGAAAUACGAUUAGAUACACACUUAGGAGUCGAAUCAUCUUCAUCAAACAGCCAGUAUGGAUCAAGAGGAGCAUUGGCAUGGACUCCUCCAGCAUCUGUAGAAGGGUCUACGCCUACAUGGACUGAAGGCACCCCCAGUUUUACAGACUCAAGCUCCAGCGGAGAAUUAGCCAUUUCCGAAAACUCAUCACCAUUGAAUAUUCCCAGUUCGGACAGACAUAAACCCACAGUGGAGGAUACUCUUAAUUCACUCACAUCAGAAAUGAAACGGAACAAUCCGAUUUGUAACAUAAUGUAAUCGAAGUUCAUGAAGAAGAACUCAUUCAAUAUUAAUCUACUGCUACUCAAUUGAGGUAACAACUUUAUACCCAAUAGGUAUCAAUAAUUUGCAUUUAAGGAAUUUCAAUGAAAGACGCGGCUUUGAGGGAAAAUGGUAAUGUUCCUGUGAUGUAGUGGCAAAAAUAUUAUUUACGAUUGAAAUAAUAAAUCAAUAAUAAUUAUUUAUUACGAAAAGUUACCGACAUUAUUUAUUUUGUAAUAAUGUAAUGUAGCAUUAUUUCAACUUGAUUAAGAUAUAAAAAAAAAUAUUUGAA
This 3017-nucleotide unclassified non-coding RNA is filed under the name Hermetia illucens (black soldier fly). RNAcentral's name for it is "phosphatidylinositol 4-phosphate 5-kinase type-1 alpha, transcript variant X12". The record is from RNAcentral. Lineage: Eukaryota; Metazoa; Arthropoda; Insecta; Diptera; Stratiomyidae.